CCGCAGUAUUUUAACUGUGCAAAGGUAGCAUAAUCAUUAGUUUUUUAAAUGAAAGCUAGAAUGAAUGGUUUGAUAAAAAAAAAGCUUUCUUAAAAUUAUUGUAUAAUUUUAUUUUUAAGUUAAAAAGCUUAAAUAGAAUAAAUAGACGAGAAGACCCUAUAGAGCUUAAAAUAUUAAAAAUUAAUUAAUUAAAUUUUAAAUUAUGAUUAAUUUUAAAGUAUUUUUUAUUGGGGUGAUAUAAAAAUUUAAAUAACUUUUUAAUUUAAAUCCAUUAAUUAAUGAGUAAUUGAUCCUAUUAUUUAGAUUAUAAGAAAAAGUUACCUUAGGGAUAACAGCGUAAUUUUUUUUUGGAGUUCUUAUUUAAAGAAAAGAUUGCGACCUCGAUGUUGGAUUAAAAUUUAAUUUUGGUGUAGAAGCUAAAUAUUUAGGUCUGUUCGACCUUUAAAAUUUUACAUGAUCUGAGUUUAAACCGGUGUAAGCCAGGUUGGUUUCUAUCUUUUAUAAAUUAAAAUAUUUUAGUACGAAAGGACCAAAUAUUUAAAUAAUAUUUUUAAUUAGGAAUAAAUUU
RNAcentral lists this ribosomal RNA (568 nucleotides) under Parahelops cf. quadricollis MSL2007. RNAcentral describes it as "partial 16S ribosomal RNA". The stretch from base 328 to 486 matches the Rfam family "Bacterial large subunit ribosomal RNA", at positions 2473 to 2632 of the family's 2925-position model. Lineage: Eukaryota; Metazoa; Arthropoda; Insecta; Coleoptera; Perimylopidae. The record is from RNAcentral.